RNAcentral lists this ribosomal RNA (468 nucleotides) under uncultured bacterium. RNAcentral describes it as "partial 16S ribosomal RNA". It matches the Rfam family "Bacterial small subunit ribosomal RNA", at positions 28 to 507 of the family's 1533-position model. The record is from RNAcentral.
GACGAACGCUGGCGGCGUGCUUAACACAUGCAAGUCGAACGGAAAGGCCCUGCUUUUGUGGGGUGCUCGAGUGGCGAACGGGUGAGUAACACGUGAGUAACCUGCCCUUGCCUUUGGGAUAACUUCAGGAAACUGGGGCUAAUACCGGAUAGGAGCUCCUGCUGCAUGGUGGGGGUUGGAAAGUUUCGGCGGUUGGGGAUGGACUCGCGGCUUAUCAGCUUGUUGGUGGGGUAGUGGCUUACCAAGGCUUUGACGGGUAGCCGGCCUGAGAGGGUGACCGGCCACAUUGGGACGGAGAUACGGCCCAGACUCCUACGGGAGGCAGCAGUGGGGAAUAUUGCACAAUGGGCGGAAGCCUGAUGCAGCAACGCCGCGUGCGGGAUGACGGCCUUCGGGUUGUAAACCGCUUUCGCCUGUGACGAAGCGUGAGUGACGGUAAUGGGUAAAGAAGCACCGGCUAACUACGUG